This 72-nucleotide transfer RNA is filed under the name Bos taurus (domestic cattle). It matches the Rfam family "tRNA". Rfam says of the family: Transfer RNA (tRNA) molecules are approximately 80 nucleotides in length. Their secondary structure includes four short double-helical elements and three loops (D, anti-codon, and T loops). Lineage: Eukaryota; Metazoa; Chordata; Mammalia; Artiodactyla; Bovidae. RNAcentral also lists the same sequence under 1 other name. The record is from Rfam by way of RNAcentral.
UCCCUGGUGGUCCAGUGGUGAGGAAUCUGCCUUGCAAUGCAGGGGACCCAGGUUUGACCCCUGGUUGGGGAA